UGAGUACGAGCUGCUACGGCAGCGAAGUGGGUGAUGUCAUGCUUCCAAGAAAAGCCCUAUACCCGUUAAGGCAUGAUGGCCUGUACCCGAAACCGACACAGGUGGGGUGGUAGAGAAUACCGAGGGGCGCGAGGUAGCUCUCUCUAAGGAACUCGGCAAAAUGGCCCCGUAACUUCGGGAGAAGGGGUGCCACCGCAAGGUGGUCGCAGUGAAGAGGCCCAGGCGACUGUUUACCAAAAACACAGGUCUCCGCUAAGUCGCAAGACGAUGUAUGGGGGCUGACGCCUGCCCAGUGCCGGAAGGUUAGGGAAGCUGGUCAGCGUAAGCGAAGCUAGCGACUGAAGCCCCGGUGAACGGCGGCCGUAACAAUAACGGUCCUAAGGUAGCGAAAUUCCUUGUCGGGUAAGUUCCGACCCGCACGAAAGGCGUAACGAUCUGGGCGCUGUCUCGGAGAGAGGCUCGGCGAAAUAGAAUUGUCUGUGAAGAUGCGGACUACGUGCACCCGGACAGAAAGACCCUAUGAAGCUUUACUGUAGCUUGGUAUUGUGCUCGGGCUCGGAAUGCGCAGGAUAGGUGGGAGGCUAUGAACCAUUGCUUGCGGGUGAUGGUGAGCCACUGGUGAGAUACCACUCUUUCCGAGCUAGAGUUCUAACAGCCACCCGUUAUCCGGGGGCUGGACAGUAUCAGGUGGGCAGUUUGACUGGGGCGGUCGCCUCCUAAAAGGUAACGGAGGCGCGCAAAGGUUUGCUCAGGCUGGUUGGAAAUCAGCCGACGAGUGUAAAAGCAGAAGCAAGCUUGACUGUGAGACCUACAAGUCGAACAGGGAGGAAACUCGGCUUUAGUGAUCCGACGGUUCUGCGUGGAAGGGCCGUCGCUCAACGGAUAAAAGUUACUCUAGGAUAACAGGCUGAUCUCCCCCAAGAGUUCACAUCGACGGGGAGGUUUGGCACCUCGAUGUCGGCUCAUCGCAACCUGGGGCUGAAGUCGGUCCCAAGGGUUGGGCUGUUCGCCCAUUAAAGCGGUACGCGAGCUGGGUUCAGAACGCCGUGAGACAGUUCGGUCCAUAUCCGGUGCAUGCGCAGGAAUAUUGAGAGGAUUUCUCCCUAGUACGAGAGGACCGGGAGGAACGCACCUCUGGUGUACCAGUUAUCGUGCCAACGGUAAACGCUGGGUAGCCAUGUGCGGAGAGGAUAACCGCUGAAAGCAUCUAAGUGGGAAGCCCACCUCAAGAUGAGUAUUCCCAUGGGGUAACCCAGUAAGGUCACGGGAAGAACACCCGUUGAUAGGCUCUACGUGGAAGCGCAGUAAUGUGUGAAGCGGAGGAGUACUAAUAGACCGAGGGCUUGACC
This 1349-nucleotide ribosomal RNA is filed under the name metagenome. RNAcentral's name for it is "bacterial LSU rRNA". It matches the Rfam family "Bacterial large subunit ribosomal RNA", at positions 1564 to 2925 of the family's 2925-position model. The record is from RNAcentral.